GGCAGUAUAGUUUGACGGUAGGAACACUGCGAUUCCAGCAGAGGCGAAGGUUCGACUCCUUCAACUGCCC
Molecule: transfer RNA, 70 nt
Filed under: Selenomonas sp.
Lineage: Bacteria; Bacillati; Bacillota; Negativicutes; Selenomonadales; Selenomonadaceae
Description: tRNA-OTHER
Rfam family: tRNA
About the family: Transfer RNA (tRNA) molecules are approximately 80 nucleotides in length. Their secondary structure includes four short double-helical elements and three loops (D, anti-codon, and T loops).
Source: RNAcentral